GAUGAACGCUGGCGGCGUGCCUAAUACAUGCAAGUCGAGCGAACGGACGAGAAGCUUGCUUCUCUGAUGUUAGCGGCGGACGGGUGAGUAACACGUGGAUAACCUACCUAUAAGACUGGGAUAACUUCGGGAAACCGGAGCUAAUACCGGAUAAUAUUUUGAACCGCAUGGUUCAAAAGUGAAAGACGGUCUUGCUGUCACUUAUAGAUGGAUCCGCGCUGCAUUAGUUAGUUGGUAAGGUAACGGCUUACCAAGGCAACGAUGCAUAGCCGACCUGAGAGGGUGAUCGGCCACACUGGAACUGAGACACGGUCCAGACUCCUACGGGAGGCAGCAGUAGGGAAUCUUCCGCAAUGGGCGAAAGCCUGACGGAGCAACGCCGCGUGAGUGAUGAAGGUCUUCGGAUCGUAAAACUCUGUUAUUAGGGAAGAACAUAUGUGUAAGUAACUGCGCACAUCUUGACGGUACCUAAUCAGAAAGCCACGGCUAACUACGUGCCAGCAGCCGCGGUAAUACGUAGGUGGCAAGCGUUAUCCGGAAUUAUUGGGCGUAAAGCGCGCGUAGGCGGUUUUUUAAGUCUGAUGUGAAAGCCCACGGCUCAACCGUGGAGGGUCAUUGGAAACUGGAAAACUUGAGUGCAGAAGAGGAAAGUGGAAUUCCAUGUGUAGCGGUGAAAUGCGCAGAGAUAUGGAGGAACACCAGUGGCGAAGGCGACUUUCUGGUCUGUAACUGACGCUGAUGUGCGAAAGCGUGGGGAUCAAACAGGAUUAGAUACCCUGGUAGUCCACGCCGUAAACGAUGAGUGCUAAGUGUUAGGGGGUUUCCGCCCCUUAGUGCUGCAGCUAACGCAUUAAGCACUCCGCCUGGGGAGUACGACCGCAAGGUUGAAACUCAAAGGAAUUGACGGGGACCCGCACAAGCGGUGGAGCAUGUGGUUUAAUUCGAAGCAACGCGAAGAACCUUACCAAAUCUUGACAUCCUUUGACAACUCUAGAGAUAGAGCUUUCCCCUUCGGGGGACAAAGUGACAGGUGGUGCAUGGUUGUCGUCAGCUCGUGUCGUGAGAUGUUGGGUUAAGUCCCGCAACGAGCGCAACCCUUAAGCUUAGUUGCCAUCAUUAAGUUGGGCACUCUAAGUUGACUGCCGGUGACAAACCGGAGGAAGGUGGGGAUGACGUCAAAUCAUCAUGCCCCUUAUGAUUUGGGCUACACACGUGCUACAAUGGACAAUACAAAGGGCAGCGAAACCGCGAGGUCAAGCAAAUCCCAUAAAGUUGUUCUCAGUUCGGAUUGUAGUCUGCAACUCGACUACAUGAAGCUGGAAUCGCUAGUAAUCGUAGAUCAGCAUGCUACGGUGAAUACGUUCCCGGGUCU
This 1372-nucleotide ribosomal RNA is filed under the name uncultured bacterium. Its description in RNAcentral is "bacterial SSU rRNA". It matches the Rfam family "Bacterial small subunit ribosomal RNA", at positions 28 to 1381 of the family's 1533-position model. The record is from RNAcentral.